AGUGAACGCUGGCGGUAGGCCUAACACAUGCAAGUCGAACGGCAGCACAGUAAGAGCUUGCUCUUACGGGUGGCGAGUGGCGUACGGGUGAGGAAUACAUCGGAAUCUACUUUUUCGUGGGGGAUAACGUAGGGAAACUUACGCUAAUACCGCAUACGACCUACGGGUGAAAGCAGGGGAUCUUCGGACCUUGCGCGAUUGAAUGAGCCGAUGUCGGAUUAGCUAGUUGGCGGGGUAAAGGCCCACCAAGGCGACGAUCCGUAGCUGGUCUGAGAGGAUGAUCAGCCACACUGGAACUGAGACACGGUCAAGACGCCUACGGGAGGCAGCAGUGGGGAAUAUUGGACAAUGGGCGCAAGCCUGAUCCAGCCAUACCGCGUGGGUGAAGAAGGCCUUCGGGUUGUAAAGCCCUUUUGUUGGGAAAGAAAAGCAGCAGGUUAAUACCCCGCUGUUCUGACGGUACCCAAAGAAUAAGCACCGGCUAACUUCGUG
This 492-nucleotide ribosomal RNA is filed under the name uncultured bacterium. RNAcentral describes it as "partial 16S ribosomal RNA". It matches the Rfam family "Bacterial small subunit ribosomal RNA", at positions 29 to 507 of the family's 1533-position model. The record is from RNAcentral.